RNAcentral lists this ribosomal RNA (253 nucleotides) under uncultured bacterium. Its description in RNAcentral is "partial 16S ribosomal RNA". It matches the Rfam family "Bacterial small subunit ribosomal RNA", at positions 524 to 776 of the family's 1533-position model. The record is from RNAcentral.
GACAGAGGUGCCGAGCGUUAGGCGGAAUCACUGGGCUUAAAGCGUGUGUAGGCGGACUUCUAAGUACCUUGUGAAAUCCCACGGCUCAACCGUGGAACUGCUUGGUAUACUGGUCGUCUUGAGCCAUCUAGGGGCUGUCGGAACAAAUGGUGGAGCGGUGAAAUGCGUAGAUAUCAUUUGGAACGCCAAUGGUGAAAACAGGUAGCUGGGGCUGUGCUGACACUGAGACACGAAAGCCAGGGGAGCGAACGGG